GACGAACGCUGGCGGCGUGCUUAACACAUGCAAGUCGAACGGUGAAGCGCCUUCCUUUUUGGUGGGUGUGGAUGAGUGGCGAACGGGUGAGUAACACGUGAGUAACCUGCCCCCUUCUUCUGGAUAACCGCAUGAAAGUGUGGCUAAUACGGGAUAUUCUGGGUCUGUCGCAUGAUGGGUCUGGGAAAGAUAUUGUUUCGGUGGGGGAUGGGCUCGCGGCCUAUCAGCUUGUUGGUGGGGUGAUGGCCUACCAAGGCGGUGACGGGUAGCCGGCCUGAGAGGGUGGACGGUCACACUGGGACGGAGACACGGCCCAGACUCCGACGGGAGGCAGCAGUGGGGAAUAUUGCACAAUGGGAGCAAGCCUGAUGCAGCGACGCCGCGGGAGGGAUGGAGGCCUUCGGGUUGUGAACCUCUUUCGCCAGUGAAGCAGGCCUGCCUCGUUUGUGGGUGGGUUGACGGUAGCUGGAUAAGAAGCGCCGGCUAACUACGUG
RNAcentral lists this ribosomal RNA (494 nucleotides) under uncultured bacterium. RNAcentral describes it as "partial 16S ribosomal RNA". It matches the Rfam family "Bacterial small subunit ribosomal RNA", at positions 28 to 507 of the family's 1533-position model. The record is from RNAcentral.